RNAcentral lists this ribosomal RNA (253 nucleotides) under uncultured bacterium. RNAcentral describes it as "partial 16S ribosomal RNA". It matches the Rfam family "Bacterial small subunit ribosomal RNA", at positions 524 to 776 of the family's 1533-position model. The record is from RNAcentral.
UACGGAGGGUGCAAGCGUUGUCCGGAUUUACUGGGCGUAAAGAGCGCGCAGGCGGUCGGAUAAGUCGGAUGUGAAAGCCCCCGGCUCAACUGGGGAGAGUCAUUCGAUACUGUUCGACUCGAAGGCAGGAGAGGGAAGUGGAAUUCCGGGUGUAGUGGUGAAAUGCGUAGAUAUCCGGAGGAACACCAGUGGCGAAGGCGACUUUCUGGCCUGUUCUUGACGCUGAGGCGCGAAAGCUAGGGGAGCAAACGGG